Molecule: transfer RNA, 68 nt
Filed under: Varanus kingorum
Lineage: Eukaryota; Metazoa; Chordata; Lepidosauria; Squamata; Varanidae
Description: tRNA-Ile
Source: RNAcentral
GGAAAUGUGCCUGAACAAAGGGCUAUUUUGAUAGAAUAGAUUACAGGAAUAACACCUCCUCAUUUCCC